GACAGAGGGUGCAAACGUUGUUCGGAAUUACUGGGCGUAAAGCGUGUGUAGGCGGUCACGUAAGUCGGAUGUGAAAGCCCUGGGCUCAACCCAGGAAGUGCACUCGAUACUGCGUGGCUUGAGUACUGGAGAGGUUGGUGGAAUUCUCGGUGUAGAGGUGAAAUUCGUAGAUAUCGAGAGGAACACCAGUGGCGAAGGCGAGUCCCUGGACAACUCCUGACACUGAGGCACGAAAGCUAGGGGAGCAAACAGG
RNAcentral lists this ribosomal RNA (253 nucleotides) under uncultured bacterium. RNAcentral describes it as "partial 16S ribosomal RNA". It matches the Rfam family "Bacterial small subunit ribosomal RNA", at positions 524 to 776 of the family's 1533-position model. The record is from RNAcentral.